Long non-coding RNA from Diabrotica virgifera virgifera (western corn rootworm), 265 nucleotides. RefSeq lists it as uncharacterized. The transcript is spliced from 2 exons. NCBI's taxonomy places the organism in Eukaryota, Metazoa, Arthropoda, Insecta, Coleoptera, Chrysomelidae. The record is from RefSeq and is a predicted model, not a curated record.
CGUCAACAUAAAAUUGAAAUGUCAGAUAAACAAAUUUUAUUUAUUUACCUAUGUUAAUGUAAUGUUAAAUUAGUGUUUUCAAGGAAAACUGUUUAUUUUGUAUUUAUUUAUUUUUAUUAGAUAUAAAAUUUAUAUUAUACGAGCUUGUUUAUCAAUGGAAUCCCUCUUUACUAGUGGUACUUUUAAAUUGUGACCAUAGCUCUGAAGAUGACUUUGUAAGCCGAAAGAGUCAACGAGGAAUUAAAUGUUUUAUACACUUUUAAAA